RNAcentral lists this transfer RNA (67 nucleotides) under Macroscytus japonensis. RNAcentral's name for it is "tRNA-Phe". Lineage: Eukaryota; Metazoa; Arthropoda; Insecta; Hemiptera; Cydnidae. The record is from RNAcentral.
AUUUAAGUAGCUUAAGUGUAAAGCAUAAUAUUGAAGAUAUUAUUAUAGGUGCUAUACCUCUUAAAUA